RNAcentral lists this ribosomal RNA (1262 nucleotides) under metagenome. Its description in RNAcentral is "bacterial SSU rRNA". It matches the Rfam family "Bacterial small subunit ribosomal RNA", at positions 246 to 1498 of the family's 1533-position model. The record is from RNAcentral.
UUGUUGGUGAGGUAACGGCUCACCAAGGCGACGAUGGAUAGCCGGACUGAGAGGUUGACCGGCCACACUGGAACUGAGACAAGGUCCAGUCCCCUACGGGAGGCGCAGGUGGGAAUAGUUUGCAAUGGGCGAAAGCCUGACAACGCGACGCCGCGUGAACGAUGAAGGCUCUUGGGUUGUAAAGUUCAUUAGACAGGAAAGAAUAAGUCAUGGUAAAUAGCCAUGGCGAUGACGGUACCUGUUGAAAGCCCCGGCUAACUACGUGCCAGCAGCCGCGGUAAUACGUAGGGGGCGAGCGUUGUUCGGAAUCACUGGGCGUAAAGAGCACGUAGGUGGGUUGGCAAGUCAUGGGGUAAAUCUUUCGGCUCAACUGGAAGGCUUCUCGUGAAACUACCAAUCUUGAAUAUGGGAGAGGAAGGUGGAAUUCCGCAAGUAGCGGUGAAAUGCGUAGAUAUGCGGGAGAACACCCGUGGCGAAGGCGGCCUUCUGGCCCGAUAUUGACACUGAGGUGCGAAAGCGUGGGGAGCGAACGGGAUUAGAUACCCCGGUAGUCCACGCCCUAAACGAUGGGAACUAGGUGUAGGGGGUAUCGACCCCCUCUGUGCCGCAGCUAACGCAUUAAGUUCCCUGCCUGGGGAGUACGGUCGCAAGAUUAAAACUCAAAGGAAUUGACGGGGGCCCGCACAAGCGGUGGAGUAUGUGGUUUAAUUCGAUGCAACGCGAAGAACCUUACCCAGACUUGACAUGUGGAGUAAAGCCGUGGAAACACGGCCCGCCCUAACAGGUAUCUUUACACAGGUGCUGCAUGGCUGUCGUCAGCUCGUGUCGUGAGAUAUUGGGUUAAGUCCCGCAACGAGCGCAACCCCUUUUCUUAGUUGCUACCAGGAAAGCUGAGCACUCUAAGGAGACUGCCGGUGAUAAACCGGAGGAAGGUGGGGAUGAGGUCAAGUCAGCAUGGCCCUUACGUCUGGGGCUACACACGUACUACAACGCCAGGGACAAAGGGUCGCAAAAUCGCGAGAUCAAGCCAAUCCCAAAAAACCUGGCUCAGUUCAGAUUGCAGGCUGCAACUCGCCUGCAUGUAGUCGGAAUCGCUAGUAAUCGCAGAUCAGCACGCUGCGGUGAAUACGUUCCCGGGCCUUGUACACACCGCCCGUCACACCACCCGAGUUGAGUGCACCCGAAGUCGCUGCUCCAACCCCGCAAGGGGAGGAAGGCGCCGAAGGUGUGUUUAGUAAGGGGGGUGAAGUCGUAACAAGGUA